UAAACCACUAGGAUAAACAAGAGUAAAAGAGGGAAUCACCAGAAGUUUCCACCAAUAAGGUCACUGGGGACAUUUAUAUCUGAAUCUCAAAACCUGACUCCUAAAAGCAUGAAGAGUGAUGACAGCAAAAAAACAGAAUUCGGAAGGCAGCAGGGCUUCCUAGGCAGGCAUGGCCCCAUCCUGGUGGACGGGAUCCCAGAUCAUCCAAUAAAUAAAGGGACCCAACAGGCGAAUUAUUAAACAAAUACCUCAAGUUUACCAUUCUUUUCAAAUGUACAAAGAAUGUAAAUCAAGCAUCAUUUCAUCGAGACAAGGAGAACUUUAAGCAAGAUCCUCCUAUCUUUUAGAAGGCACAUCAUCACAAUCCAUGAGAAAAUGUUUUUCAAAGCAUCCUUGACGCAGCUGUCCUUUGCACAGUGUUGUGGAUUUUUUAUCCUGAACUUCCCUGCAUGUAAAGCAAAACAUCUGCUUAGGGAUGUUUCAUCACUGAUGACACCUAUAACUAUUGGCAAUUACUCUUUUUCUAGUUCAUAACUGUUUGGCAUUUAUUUUAAAGGUGGCAACCUUAGAAAAGACAAAAAUGACUGAUCUCUUGAGCAGGCUCCAAAUGUCACAUUGUGAAAGAUGUUGUUUUACCAUCAGCAUAUGGCAUCUGUCUGGGUGCCUUAAAGAAGUCUCUAACUGGAAAAGCAAUGUUCCCUUAGCAGGAUCUUUGUGUCUCCAGCUUUUAGGCAGCCUUAACUGAAACACCAUUCUGAAUAUUAUUUACCUUCAACUUAAUUUGAUCCUCAGGAAUUUACACAUAGUUUAAAGUUUCAGAAUAAAUUCCUCAACUAACUCCUCAUUAAAUUUACUUGAAGGGUUCUUUUAUGAUUAAAACAAGCUGGUUCCCAGAAGACUGUAUCUGCAUAAAUGUACACAUUAGACUUUAAGACUGCCCACAUCCUGGUACUGUGGUUGCCUGUGCUUUUUAAUGAAGAGUGAGCUCCACAGCGUAUUUGCUGCGCCAGGAAUCAAGAUACUUUCAGUAUGCUGCCAGAUAAGGGAUUUAUUUGAGCCUUUAUUAAGGCCUUCUUAUUUUGUAUUCUGUGUUUCAUUCAAAACUAUUCUUUUUCUCAAAACGUUAUGGUUAUAGUUGAUAAUGAAAUGGGCAGAAGACAAGCAGGACCGUGCAGUGAUGGAUGCUAUGGCAACUGGAACAGGCCUGAAAAAAUGCUUUCGUGUAGAGUUUUUAAGUCAGAAAAAUUAUAACAAGAGAAAGCUAAUUAGCAAUUUAAGUAGGCACCUUUGACUGGAGAAGUGAAGGGCUCUGGAAUGUUAGCAGCUGAUAUUGCUACAGCUUAUGCGAAAGUGCUUUUAGUUUGUUGCAUGCUGUUUCACUGCAUCUCAAGGAAUACACAUUUAAAUGCAUGCUAGCUCUUAGCCAGUUUCUUCCAGGGUAAAUCCAGACUCCCACAGCAGGAGAAGGGGCUGUGGCAAUGGAAAGAAACAACCAGCCGGCUAUGGCCACUCAAUCGGUGGUGAACAAGCUAAUGAAUAAAGAUGUUAGUGCUUUCAGGAAUGAGCCAUGAGCAUGAAAUUUGAAGAAAUGAUGGCUUUAAUGCCUUCAUCUAACAAAUGUAGCCUGAAGAUUUUCUAACUUAAAAAUACUUCUCUAGUUUCAGAAAAUCUGCCUUCUCCCAGUACAAGUGACCAAGUUAAGCUGGGAAAGUACACCCUGAGUCCUCCCUAUCACUUGAGCUCCUGUGUGGCAUUUAGAAGCAACCUGCUUGAUUCUGGAGAGCAGCAGAUUCUGUCUCUCCUAUGGACAUAUAUACACAUAUGCCUUUGUGACAUUGGAUUCCAAGUCCAGCACUGGACUCUCAAGAUGUGUUGGGCACCUAUCCUGAGCUGAUGCCCGAGUUAUCCUCCCUCCAAAUAAUACAUCUCUUCCUUCACCUCCUCUAAACAAUAUGCGCUUAUACAAGUGGAUACUAAUAUCAUCACAUUUCACAAGAGAAUUAUUUACCAGUUUGAAGAUGGAAUGCCAAAACAUCAGAAAAAGAAAAGUAUAAACGACUCUUUGAUGGCAAGUGCCCACUGAGACUAUGUCCAAUAAAUAUAACAUCUACUUCAGGCACACUGUGCUGUUGAUCUCUAUAUUCCUCAAAACAACACACUGGGUACAGCAGCUCUGCUUUGUACAUGCAGGACCACCAGCACUCCUAGCUCAGGUAUGGUGCCAUCGGACUCACUACAGGGGAUGAGAGGGUCACUAUAUACAAGCCCGAUGAGUUUAAUCAGGACACCAGCCUGCAGAACUGCUCAUGCAAAUGCUGUGCCCAGAAUUUCUAGACCCUAUGAUAACACUCUUUACAGACAGUCCUUAAGGGUUUGACCACCUUCACAUGAUGACAUAGUCUGUUCUCACUGCAGUCCAAGGCACAGCUUGCAAGGCUUGCAAGAUCAGUACCUGCACCAGGCAUGUGGGAUGCAUGCUGCCAUCCUAACCUCACUAUGGCUUUGUAAAGCACGGAGCUGGCCAAGGUUCCUCUGUACUGGCAUGUGUAACCUGUAGACGAGAUAACUCAUGGAAAAGGGAGAGCUGACUGUUAGAGGAAUGCUAUCCUCUAGUUUAAGCAGUCUGCAUCUGCAUUGGAGUAGGAGGAAUCGAUUCCCAGACCCUAGAGUGUCCUUGUACCUCUCCUGUACAACUCUAAGAUCUCUCUUAUUAUUCCUAGUUAACAGUGAACCAGUGGUCAGCAGUUCUGCAGAUUUUUGAUAAUCACAUCACAUAGCGUGCAGCAGCACAACACAGAUCAGAUGAGCUUCACACAGAGAGUUUGCUGUGCUAGCUGAAAUUUUUGCUUGUUCACGUCAAAGUCAAAAGGAACAGUUCGAUAGUCAGUAUCUCAACAACAACAAAUCGCAGGAGUGUUUCUGCAGGGUCUUUGUAACUGCAUCAAAUUUGGCUGAAUAUAAAAGACUAUGGAACAGAAACAGGCUUCUAUAAGGAUCACAAGCUCUUCUAAAUUAGAUGUUGACCUUUCUGUUCCACAACUUCAGAGACUAUUUUCCUUAAAGUAGCCUCAGCGGCUACUCUUUCUAAAGAAAAUAAAUGUUGUUUUAGUUCUGCUGUUGGGGGCUGCACGCUGCUUAGGUAGUAACAGCUGCUCAGGUGACACAGAAUGAAGAACUAAAGUGCUCUCUUUGGUAAGAAGAAGUAGGUGAUACAUAAAAGUAUGCUUCUUGAUCAUGUCCUGCACAGAGAAUACAUGAGAGUUCAGUAAACUGAUUCUGGUUUAUUAAGAAAGCAAUAUUGUUUUUAGAGACAAGUGCCUUAAGAACAUCCUCUUAUUCUGGUCCUGUGAUGGCUCAGAGGUGUGGAACACAGACCAGCUGGAGCCCUGUCCUGUUACCCUACUGCACCUGCACAGUCCCAGGCUGUUCUGGGAGUGUUGGUUGAUACAGGUACAGUCCUGAAGAUUUGACUUCUUUUGCAGUUCAGGCUGGAGCAGUUCAGGCAGCUCACAAGAACAGAGAGCACAUACAGGCUGACAUGUCACCAGCAGCUAUAAGCUUCCAGCCAGGGAAGACAAGAGCCCAAAUACAUCCAGAAGCAUACAAAGGAGGUCAGGCCCAGGAUGACAGACAUCAACAAUCAUGACACUUAGAGAGAGCAUUAGGUAGAAGCAGCUUGCAGACUGGAUAGGAUGCCUCCCACCCCCCUCAUCCUUCUCCCCACACACUGAGAUGAGUGACCAGGAGAUUAAGCUGUAAACCUAUAGACAUUCUCCAGCUUCCAAGGGGACUGAGAAGGUCAGUCACUCCCAAGAGCAGUGAGACCAGAAACAACAGUGGUGCACCUUUUAAGCCAGGUAACCAAUUCCUGCCCCCUAGAAAAGCUAUUGACAUAUAAGAAAUAAUAUUGUCCCUCACAAGCCAUGGUAACAGUUAAGUCCCCCACACCCCGUGGUUCACAUCUCUUGAUUGCCAACUUCUGUUAUUGAAUCCAUCUGUCACACCAUAAUAUUGAGCUGGAAACAGUGGCAAACAAACAAGGAACUUUUCCAGAGCUGUAACACAAGAUAUUCAGCAGUUCCAAUAAGAACCUCCUAACCCUCAUCUAAUUGACGUAUGUAACCAACAAAAAAAAAAAAAAUGACUCAAACCCAAAAUACGAACCACAAUUUGCUCGUUGGGUUGUUUUUAUUUUUUAAUCAAUUCAGCAUAAUUAUUUCCUCUUGAUUUGUGGGGUUUUUUUUCUACAUGGAAAGGCAGAGGCUUUAUGAGUGUGUGCCCAAGACGCCUUUUGAGUCAAGGCAAUAUAUUUGUCUCCAGUGUUGCUGAAAAGGAACCUGAAGUUUCCUUUAGAGCCUUUUCCUGAACAUCAGCCCACGGUCAUAAAAAUCUGGUCAGGUGUUCUGCUGUGCUCUCAGGUUUAUUUCUACUCUGCUCUGUGGAGCGAGAUGCCUUGUGCCAGCAGCAGUGACCUAGCUUGGAGCCAGGGCACAGCAGCUGCACAAGUGCAGUGCCACACUGACAUGUCCUCUGCUUUCAGCACACAGAUGAGUAUCUUUUAUGGCUUUGUUCUAUGCUAUGUAGAUGAAACUGCUUACUCAGUGCCUUAUGGCCAUACCAUUCCAAUUUUCCAGCAACUGCUCCCCAUUUUCUCUGUCUCAAAAUAUCAAGCAGAGAGAAGAAAUGCAUAGAUUUUCUGAAAUACCCUUUAAGGUUUUUGCUCUAGCUCCAUCCAUUGAGGAGAGCAGAUUUGGAACAAUGAGAUUCCAAAGAUUGCCUCUAUUCUAUGCAAGAAAUUCUCCUGUGAUCAGUUUGUUGCUAGCAUAUAAUUACUCUUCUUAGGUCGUUCUUUGUUUGUUGUAGGUUUUGUUUUCUUUCCAAGAUGGCUUAAAGCUAAAAUUCCUCUUCUGUAGCUGGGAGAGGUUACAUAGACCACUCUUGUCAGGUCAAGAUUCCAACAACUGUGGGAGUUCCAUACAUGCACCGCCAGUUGAGUUGGACCCACAGCUGCUGUGUCCAUGCUUCAGUGCUUGCUGCCUGCUGCCUGCUGCUUGACAGCCAGCUGGAAAAGUGGAAUACUCAAGACCAAGCUCUACUCCUGGUGCAACCCCUGCAGAUUUACAUAAAAUCUAGGUGGCACAUAGGGUAUUGUAAAAGCCAUUAAAUGAGUGGCUGUUGUUUGUGCAGAAAUACCUUAUAAGUGCUGAUGGUUUGUUGAUUAACUGCUGCUAUUGUCAUCCCAAGGACUGUAAGAGUAAAGCAUGCUCUUGAAUGGACAGAUAAUAACUUUGAGGGGAGAAAAAGGUAUUUUUAUUAAAUUUUAGUAUCACUGAAUCUAUGGGACUAAAACACUGCCGAUACCAAUACCGCAGUAGUCCACCAGCAUGUCAGCUCUCCAUGCUCCUGUGCCUCAGGAUCUGUCUCUGUGUGUCUUUUUUUGUCAUUAGCUUGUUAAAACUGCUGUUAUUUCUAGGCUUAAUAAAGUUGCUUAAGGAAAAAUCUUUCUCAAGGGAGUAGUUAAUUUGAUCUUUUAUCUUAAGCUACUGUUUUUCAUUUAGUUUUCUAAGCAAAUAAAAGUUCGAUUAACAUGUAUAUGUAUACAAUAAUGGAACGGUUUCCAAGCAUCUUCCUUGAAAUCUCUAAGGUGUCAUUCAAUGAGAUUACAUAAGAGGAUUGCUAAUUUCAUUUGCAGCUCUGUUACCCUAUUUGAAGUGCUUGGGAAAUAACACUCCAUUUUAACAUGAAGUAGAACACAGAAAGGUUAACACUCAAGGUCCGUAAUUAAGAUCUAGCUGCAAAGUGAUCUGUGCACAGAUGCCUUUCCCAUUUUCCAGUCAAUAUAAAAACUGAAUAUUAUUUCAGCUUUAUUAUCAAUCUGAAUCUCAUUACCAGCUACUUUAAUAAAUAGCAUUUGUUAAAUAAAAAUAAAUAUUACCCUUGAACACUGAAGGUAGAUCUGAUUCUCUUUUUCUCACCCACAGCUCCGUAUUAAAAAUUAAAUAUGCCACUAUGCCCUAGAAAGAGGAGAAACACAUUCCUUGAGUGAUGUCCUGUUACAGAGAGAUGCCUUCAGGUGCCUUUACCACUUACACUGCAGUUGAUCUGAAUUUUGAUUGCCAAAGGUUGGAAGGAAAAUAACCAACCUACCAAGGAAAAAAAAAACAUCUCCUGCUUAUCCUUUUUUAUAUUUUCUUUAAAGAUCUUCUUCUCUAUCUGUCACGGAAAUGUUGCCAAGCUUAGGUGUGUAUCCAGUUUUUCAUACUCAUAGGUGAUGCAUAUCUCUAGUGUCAAUAAACCAGACCCAACAGCUCUGGCUGCUUCACUUUUAUGUACAGUGCUGGCUUCUUUGGUGGUAUUACUAACUAUGGUCUUGCCAAAGUUCUUCAAACUUUAUUUGUGUGCUGUUCCUUCUUUGUCAUAUUAAAUCUCUGACAUCACUGCUUUUUCUAUCUACUGCAAUGUUCUUGUUGAAAACAGAGCUCUGGAAUUUGCAUUUGGGUUGUGUGGCUAACUGGAAGACUUCAACUAUUUCAGAAAUGGUUUAUGUAUACAACAAGUAAAUGUUGUAAAUGAGAAACUGGAACCAAAUCAAUACUAUAAAAGAAAUUUGAGAAGGUUCAUCAAGUUGUCUGUCAGCAGCCUCAUUCUCUCUAAUUCUUUUAUUAAAACCAGCUUUUAGUAGUUUAUUAUAUGAGAUCAUUUAGGUUGAAACACAAACCCUAUUCACCCCGUGACCAGAGAGUCUCCAGGAGUAGCUGAAAUUGUACAAUUCCACUUUAAAAAAGGAAGAGCUGAAAAAGAGUAAGUAGCAUAGAGAAAUCCACAGCUUUCUUUUGAAUCCCGUAGCCAUGUUACAUGAGGGCUUUUUCCAUAAAAAUAUUUUCUGACUGUGCUGUAAAUCAGUAUACGGCUGCCCUUCAGGUAGGAGGAGAAAGGAUUCAUCUUGGAAUUUUCCUCCAGCAAAGCUCUUUACUUUUUCUUCUUGAGAUAAGAUCGAUUUCAUCCUUAGAUGAUGAUUAGCACUUUAUUUCUUCAUUCUCUGCUACCUGGGAAUAAAUCCUUUCACACUGGUGUUUGAGUAGCUUUUCAGUGCUUUACAUCUUUGAGCACUUAAGAACUAAUCACAUCCUCAAUACAGUCUUUGUGUGCUGGAUUAUCUAUGGCAACAGAAGAGGAACAAUCUCUCCCAGCAGGCUGGAGCACCCUGUUGGCCAGCCUUUAUUCCCUGAUAGGAGGGUGAAGCUGAGAUUUCUUGCAACUUUGACCUUCAUUAGUUCACCAUUCCAGGUAUUCUGAAGGAACGACACUCCAGGUUUGAACUGAAAGAAGGCUUCCACCCAGCACACAUCCUGGCUGGCCAGACUGUCCAAUCCUGUCUGGUUUUCUAAUCAUAGAAUCAUACAACAGAUUGGAAGGGACCCCAAGGAGUUCCAGCCCUCCUGCCGUGGGCAGGGACACCUCCCACUUGAUCAGUGCCCAGGGCCCCGUCCAUCCUGGCCUUGAACGCCUCCAGGGAUGGGACAUCCACAGCUUCCCUGGGCAGCAAGUACCAGUGCCUCACCGCCCUCUGAGUAAAAUAUUUCCUCCUAUUAUCUAACCUAAAACUUCCCUCUUUCUGCUUAAAACUAUCCCUUCUUGUUCUAUCACUAUCUGCCCAUGUAAAUUGUCAGUUUCCCUCCUGUUCAUAAGCUCUCUUUUAGUAUUAGAAGGACGCAGUGAGGUUUCCCCAGGCUGAACAAGCCUGGCUCCUACAGCCUUUCCUCAUAGGAGAGGUGCUCCAGCUUCUAAUGCUGCCACCUCUCCAAACAGAAACUGCUAUGUGACUUCAGCUGCUUUCUGGGUGGCAUUGGGCUGUUCAUCAUGAAUACCUAUUGAUAAGAACCACAUGCCCAAGGAAACAAGUACCAAGUUUUAAAACAGUUGUAUACCAACUGAGAACAAUUCUCUAAAAGGCUUUGGGCAGAGAGGAGGAGACCUUGUGGACAUGGUUCUGAAGACAAUUUAGAUGUAGUUGGUAAAUCAGUUACCAUUACUCUCUUUUUAGACCAAAUCUUUGCCGGCUUCUGGUUUUCUGCCCCAGGUCCAGAGGAGAAGGGCCAUCUUGGCACUGACAGCUGCCAGGAGAUGAGGCCAGUCAGGUGCUGGCAAAAAUGAAAGGGAUGCUCUCAAGCUGGAGACACAAACUAAAACCAAGAAAUUAGGAAGCUGGGAAGACCAGUGUGCUACUAGUAGGCAUGGUGAGGUGCAGGGCUGGUCUAAUAGAUGUUAACUCCCAGUUUCUCUGGAAACUGUAUUUUCCCAGGCAGAAGAGACAAUGCAGCUCACAGCCACGCUCCCCCACCCCUCCCAGCUGGGCUGAGCACAGCUUUAGAGCAGCUGAAAACCUAGCCUUUAAUCUUAUUUCUCUGGACAAAUGGAUGAAAGCCAUGUAUCAUCCUUUCCUUGUUGACUUUUACUUCUGGCACCAUUUGUUUUCAUUUCAUUUUAAGGUCAUGAUGAAUUGUAUUGGGUAAAAAUGACUUAAUAAUGAAAUUAAUAAAAUGCAAGAAUGUUGAAGUAAUACUAUAAACACAUCUUUUGGCAAACAGUUCAGCGAGAGAGGCCUUAUCAGAUUAUUCUAUUAUUACAUUUGGUAAAUGUACCUAACCAAUUCCUCAGCAUAAAUUUUAAGAUAGCACAGGCAAUUAACCACCCUUUGCAGCCAGUAGAUUCACAGCUUUCAAAAAACACAGCAAGGUUUGCUGCAGAAACUCUCCAGUCUGAAGACUGGAAUCUAACUGAUGGCUUUAAUAUAAAUUUCUAGCAAAAUGUUCCAUUGAACAUAGAGAGAUACUACCUGAAUGUUGUCUGAGAGAAGUGUAGGAAAACCAGGAACUGGCAAAAUGGGGUCCCAAAGUCACAAUAAAAGUGAUUCCUUGAGAUAGAAAGUUCUGUUUGUUCUUUAAAGCUGAGAGCAAGAGAAGAAAAAGUAUUAUUUGAUAUCUAACUGAAUACUUUACAUUCCAGUCAGAGAAAGCAAGUAUGUGAAUCAUCCUGCAACAUAUCAGCUUAAGGCAACAAAGGAAAAAUAGUCCAUGGGAAGAUGAAAAUAAAAUGCCUAUUAAAAUUGACUCUUUAGGAAUAUGUUGGUUUCAUAGACAGAGACAUGGCAUGUCACACCAUGGGCCAUGAACUUACGAGUAGCUAGUAACAUGGGAUCAGAUGGAGGAAAUGAAGGCGACAAAAGGAUGCGUCUCUUGAAGCAAAAAAAUAAUCAUGGCAACACUUCAUUCAUGGGUAAGUAAAAGCUGGGUCUGGAAGGGGUUCAUCAAUGGACAAAAUGUGAAAUGAUUUUACAGAGCUUUGAAGGCUGAGCAUAAUGUCUGCACUGAAUGUGCAGGAGGUGCUGCUGUUUUUGCACAGAGGACCACCUGAUGACACAAUUUUUUCUUCCACAGAAAAUGAUUAAGUGCAUUCUGUCAAUUAACUUCUAACCUUCUCAUAAUAGACAGCAAAAGACUAUUUUAAUUAAGCACAGCAGUGAAUUAAAGAUGUAUGCAUUGAGUAAAAUUGCUUUUUUCUUUUUACAGUUACAACAAGAUCAUCUGACUCCAAUGAUAAUCAGCCAGUCCACAGGAUCACCAUUAGCUCAGUCCGUGAAACACCUGAACAAAUGCCAAAGGAACUUGGAUGUAUUCCUCAUUCUGCAUUUUCUUUAUUUUUUUCAUUUAAACAUCUGUUUUCCCAUGUUGACAUAUGAGCUCAUAACUUACAGAACAAAGACAGCCCAGGCCUUCAUGCAAUGGCAUGCCUGUGUAGGUAGUGCUGGCCUUUCUAAUGCUUUCGAGGUACCAGUUCUGCUCUUUAGAGUUGCCAAAAUUUAUUGCCACUAUGUAAAGAAUGAAAAGAGGCACUGAAAACUUCUUACACAGGGUAUCACUUUGAGAACACAGUCAGAAGUUACAGCAUAAUGUAAUGAGGGGUAUUGGUUAAAUACAACUUUUUAAGGAAAACAUGACCACGAUUACUUCAUGAAUAGCAAUGCUAUGACCACUAUCACACAUCACUUCUAUUUAACUGCACAACACCAUAGCAUUUUCAAAACAAAUGGAACACGUGCCCUAUGCUGAAGCUCCUACAUUUUAGGAUCACAGUCCUGUAAAACAUGCACUUUUUGCAGAUCCUGGGGACCUCUUCAACACCCAAUGGAAGAGAAUUCCAAUGCCAGUUUUACCAGACUCUUGGACAAGCACAGAUGGCAGGAGCGAUGGAUUCGUAGAUCUACAUUCAGCAGAUGCAAAAGAACACAAUUUGGGGCUAUUUUUCUCACAGUGUGUUGUACUGAGGUAAAAACUGUGUGUUGUCUGUAUAGCACAGGAAUGGACAAGUGUUCCUGCUGCCUGGUUCGAGGGGCAGGCUGAGGAGGACAGGGAGUUAUGAUCCCUAUGUUCCAGACAAAUGGAAUCCCCUGUAGAGUGACAGAUGGUGCUUCAGCUUCUCCACUGCCUCAGCAUCUGUGCAGCACAUCUGGCCAGCUGCUGCUUAAAAGGACAAGGACACCUUCCUAUCACACCUUCCAAAUUUCUCUCAAACAUUUUCUUGUACUGAUUAUCUUUGCUACUCAACAAUGAAUGAGGCUGGAGAGCUAAACCAGCACCCAACUGUUUGCAUUUUCCAGUGCUGGUUUUCUGCUAAAUUGGCCUCCUGAUCCAGCUCCCUGUGAGUGGUCAUGGACAUUUCACUGCAGUUGGGAUGAGCCUCUGCAUCUCCAGGGUUGACCCCAGGCCACCAGGAUAUGCAGAAACCUUCAGCACUUCGGGACUGAUGCUGGUUCUCCAAACUCUCACCCUACAAACAAACUGCUUCUCACCAGCACCUUUCUCCCAGACAAUCUGACAGGAUCAGAAAGGAUUUCCCAUCCGCAGUGUCAGGGAUCUUCUGUGACAGGAAUGCACAGCCUUGCUGGGAUGAGUGGAGAUGAAAGCCACCUCCAUGAAGGCUCGGGACCUUCUGACUGAUGCUUGUGUUCACCAAACAAGCAUUUCCACACUAUGAUUAAUUGUGUUGUCUCAUCAAUGAAGUAAUGCUGCUGUUGUGUUCUGGUUCAGGGUUCUUCUGAAGAGCUUCUCUCUCCUCUGUGAGGGUGCUGGGAGGUCUUGUUGUAUGCUCUUGCAGAAAGUGAUGGCAGCACUUGGCCCCUAGCAGGAGCAUCGGUCCAGAUGUCUACAUCUUCAGUCAUAUAUAUAUGGAACCAUAGAAACCUAUGAAGCUGCUUUUAGCAGGCCCUGCAGAAAUUCAACUAGAUGCUGUCCCUGCCCUAAGAGACUUGCAGUCUAAUCUGGGAGAAGAUCAAAUGGAAAAGGAAAAAGAAAAACAUUAAAUAAUAACAGCAAAUGUUUAUAUAGCUGCUUGCACAACACAGUAACUAUAAGGAGCUACAGUCUUAAAGAUUCAAACAAAAUUAACUAUUAAGAGGAAGCACUCUGUAUUUGCACAGAGAAUCCAGGGAAGAUUUUGAGAAACCAAGAUGAUGACACAGUAGACGCAGACCUUCAAAGUUUUCAGGUACCUAUCUCCCAUGGGAGCUACCAGUGGAAGGGAAUGUGGUUGUCUGAUGAUUGCAGUGCUUUGCAGUACGGCUGAGAAACUCAAGCCCAACUCUAUGCAAUCUCGGGUACUGCGACAAGAGUGCUCCCUCUCCUACUACAUCCAACUGGAUUCAGACUGCAUUUUUCAUACUUGUGCUAAAUCACAACAGGGCUCAGACUGCCCUUUCUCCACCACUCCUUGCUCCUGUGUAUACUCAAUCUGGGAAAUACUGUACAUAAAGUUCCAGCAAUGCGGGGAUAGAGGAACUUUGUGCUUAGGAGAUCUCACGCCUAAAUCAAAAGUCCAGGACACAGCCAAUUUCCAAGUUACUUUUAAAAAUCAGAUAGUGUAAGCAAAUUUAUGUAAAGUAAUGCUGAUUGUAAUCCCACAGAGUAGAACUGCCAGCAGUGCUAAAUCAGAUUUAAACCUCAAUAGUUCCUCUUUCUUACCGCUGUUUUCCUGCUUUAUUCUUUCAUGCCUCGGUCUGUAUAGAUGAACAGAGCAGGAAUGAUAAAUGUGUUACAUAUAGCACUAUUUAUGCCACAUCAGGCUUAUACGUUUUCAUUCUAGAAGAAAGAAAAACUACCUCUCCUAAGAUCAAGAGGAUUGUUGUUUUACUUUAUGCAUGAAAACAUUCAUGUUUCAGACAGCCAAUGCCUACAGCAAUGAAGAGGGAAGAAGGGAAGAUAAGAAGGGGCUUAGGCAUUCAAGCUUUAUCUUUUUCCCUUCCUUUGUCUUUCUCUCCUUCCAGACACACAAAAAGUAAGGAGCACUCAACAAUUAGCUCUUAACAAACCAGACCAAAACCCAAACAAAUCUCCUAAUCCUUAUCAGAGAGAUGACACAGCAACACAGUAUGUAUAGAAGAAUGAAGAAAAUAUUUUGCAAGUAUACUGGCUCCUGAGAAGGCAUUUUAUGACGGGUUGUCACUUGCUGCCAAUUCUUCACAAAAAUCAUAUUGCACAAGAAACUGUGUGAUGCGAGAAGAUCAACAAUGUAUCCCCUGCCACCUGAGUCCCCCAUCUGACUGCACGUAUAACCUAGAAUAGAAAAGCUGUUUGUCUUCUUAUCCAUCUUUGAAGUCUAGCAGUUCAACGUUACAUACUGAAGGCAGGCAUUAAUAAACACUUAAUGUCAUAUGUCACACUGGCCUGAAAGUAGGACUUUGAAAAGUGUUAAAUGUUAUCCUGGAGAUAUUCAUCCCUGCUAGUUACAAAGCAGGAGGAAACAGGACUUGCUCAUGGCUUCAAUUCUUAGCCUUUGGCAUAUAUCUCAGAGGAAAUACCUUUAUUUCAAAAGCAAAUUCUGAAACUCUUAUUCUGAUUAAAUUGUCUUCAGCAUAAACAGCUGCUGUGUCAUUCAAGUUUAUGCUGGAUACUCAAUGGAAAAGUCCUUCACAGUUGUUUGUGGUUAUUUUCGGUGGAUGAAAUGGGUUCAACAGUAAGCAUGGGUAGAACUUCUAUCCACACAGUAGUAACAGCAAUAGUAAUAAUAUAAAUAAAACAUCAUCUGCUAUUAUCUAGUUUUGCCAAGAAACUUCUUAUCAGAAUUAAGAAUUUCCAGAUCUGUUUAUUUCUAGGUGUUCGUGGAGUACUUCAAUAUAUAUGUUAAACAUCAGAGUAACAUUUCUGUUCAGGAGUGAUGAUACUGCCUAGGAAUUACCUCUAUGCUUUCAGAAGUUGGUCAUUCUCUGAAGAGAGUCCUGAAGACAAGAUCAGAAACAAUAAUGAAGAAAACUUAAAAUAAAAGGUUGGAAUGAAAUGGCCUCCUGGAUGACCAUGCAACAAGAUCCAGACAGCAAAGAAAAAAAAUCAAACCCUCAAUCAAAAAAAAUCAUGAUACUGUUAUAGUUUCCUUAGCAUAGCAUGCCAAGGACCCCAAGCAAAAAUAGUUCUGGUUUUCUCAGCUGAAUGGCUCCUGAAAAAAAGUCUAGAUGUACAGAAAGGAAAUUGGAUAUAAUUCCUGCAGAGGAUGGGCUUUGAUACCACAGCUCAGAUAUGGAAAAUAAUUCAAAGUGUACGAGAGAGGUCACAGAAUUUUGACUGCAGAUAUCUAGCUAUCUCCUACUAUUUCUUUUGCCCUGUCUUUCUCCAGCUGGAAUAUUUCUCUUAAGCAAUGGACAGGAAAUAAUACAAUGAAACACGUUACUGAAAUCAGAGUUCUCUGUCAGCUUCUUACACCAUGAGGUGAACUUCAUUGUAACUCCUCAGACUUUCUGGACUUAAAUAAGGGAGAGAGGGAAUUAAUGAGUACAGUAGGAAGAAUGACAGUAAAAAUAGACUCACUUUCAAGAGUUACUGUGAAGUACAUCAGGGUUUGAAAUUUGCUAUAUAUUGGCCAGGCUUGUAUGAGUUGCCCCCGUUAAAAAAAACACCCAAUUGAAUUCUGGUCUGAAAGAAUUCAGAUCUUAAUUUACAUUGUCAGUAGCAAUUCAUGUGAUUCAGUAACAGGAAAUGUUUGUACUCAAAUGCCAUAAACAAGCCCUACUAAGAAAAGUUUGUUUUCAACAGCUAGAUCGCUUAUCUUUGCUUAGCAUAAGUAUUUUUUUCAAGAAAUCAUAAAGAGAAACAUACAUCUAGGAAUUCUGCACUGCAUAAAAACAUAAAUAUGCCAGACUUUAACUGUGCUUUAAUCAAGAUCAUUUUGAAAUAUACGUACAUUAAAGAUUUAGCUCCUGUUUUAUUGGUGUUCCGGGUCCCACGGCUGACGUGCUGAGCAGGGUGUCGGGGUUGCAUUGGAUGAGCAGUAUCUGCCAUCUGCUGGAGGGACGUGUGCUAGCACUGAUGAGGCUGGAAUGAUUUGGUCAGGUGGCCAAACACAGGAAAACUGAACUGAUAGGACUCCGGAAGAACCUGAGAAAGUGAAACUUAAUGUGACAUAACAGAGACUUUCAUAUGUUAUUUACCAGAGGGGAAAUGAGUCACGAAGUAAUCCAAUGGAAGAGGACUGGAGAUUUGGUUUAAGCCCUGACCAUUGCUCUGUACAGGAUCCCACACUGCUCUCAUUUUAGCUCAUAAACCCCACUAAAAACAUGUUUGUGUUCACAGCAUUUUGACAGAACAAUCCUCCUCUAUCCACUCUGCGGGUAUUUGCCAGAAACAGUGUUAAUAGCAUGCAGCAAUACUGCACAUUCAAAGAGAAAAGGGCCUCAGUCUUCUCUACUUUUUUUUUUUUUUAAUGUAAGUAAAAAAGUAUGUAAGUUAAACCUGGUGAUAAAACAUUUUAAAAGGGAAACAAACCCAAUGUUCCUGUAAUGUUAUUAAUAAUACAGAUGGCUGCUGUUACACAUAUAUAUGUUGCAUACAGAUUGACUUUUGCAAUAAAUUUCUCUGAGAUUUUCACAGAAAA
This 14916-nucleotide long non-coding RNA is filed under the name Gallus gallus (chicken). RNAcentral describes it as "lncRNA (ENSGALG00010013998.1)". Lineage: Eukaryota; Metazoa; Chordata; Aves; Galliformes; Phasianidae. The record is from RNAcentral.